CCCUUAGAUGUCCUGGGCCGCACGCGCGCUACACUGAUGCAUUCAACGAGUUUUACCUUGGCCGAGAGGCCUGGGCAAUCUUUUAAACCUGCAUCGUGAUAGGGAUAGAUUAUUGCAAUUAUUAAUCUUGAACGAGGAAUUCCUAGUAAACGCAGAUCAUCAAUCUGCAUUGAUUACGUCCCUGCCCUUUGUACACACCGCCCGUCGCACCUACCGAUUGAAUGGUCCGGUGAAGCCUCGGGAUUGUGGCGGUUGCCUUUAUUGGUGUCCGCCGCGAGAACUUGUCUAAACCUUAUCAUCUAGAGGAAGGUGAAGUCGUAACA
Molecule: ribosomal RNA, 323 nt
Filed under: uncultured eukaryote
Lineage: Eukaryota
Description: partial 18S ribosomal RNA
Rfam family: Eukaryotic small subunit ribosomal RNA
Source: RNAcentral